CCUAGAAAACUACCCAUUAUUAGAAAGAAAGAACACAUUCUGUUGCAUCAAAAAUGGCAUUAUGACCACAACAGCAAAUUGUCCUAUACAGAUUUUGAAAAACUGUACAAGAAAAUCUUCUGCUGGAGGCAUCGGGACCUUGUCUUCUAGGUAGUAAAGUUAUAGAAACUGUAAGACUGGGAAAAAGGAAAGGAGACAUAGAUAAAUUGUUAUCUAAGAAAGAAAUCAAGUGGAUGUCACUAUUGGAGACUGUAGUACCAUAUGGUUUGAAUAAGGACUGUGAGAUCAGAUUUUUUAUUGAUUAAGGGAUGUAAUUCACAGCUAAUAAACCUACUGUCCGAUGAAAUAAAUUCCGUAAUAGCGCUAGGUAAAGAGGAAUUGGAGAUAUUAGAAUUUGAAUACAAAGUGAUAGAAUAAAUGUCCUCUGAAUAUAAUAACUAAUUAAUUAACUAAUUCAGCACUCUAUCCAUUGAAAUUACAUCAAUUAUAUUUAUACUUAUAUUACAUCAUUAUUAUUCUAACGUGUUAAGAAAUAACAACAUAAAAAAUACAUGAUGGGCAUUUUUCAAUUUUAACCUUUUUUAUUCUAUUUAAUUAAUUGCAUUUAAGAUGUGGACAAAUAAUUUAAUUAAAUUGAAUAGAGAUCAAGAUAGACAUGAUGAUUAAUAUUAAAUUUAUUGUACGUAUAUAUAGUUUAGAACACGAACAAUUAUACAAAAUUUUGAAAAUUUAGAAAACUUAUUAAACUAUUUAUCUAUGUAUAAUAUAUAAUACAAACAAGCACUUGCACUUUAACAAUAUGCACGAUUAUAUGUUUCAUGUAUCUUGAUGUAUUUU
Long non-coding RNA from Xenopus laevis (African clawed frog), 837 nucleotides. RefSeq lists it as uncharacterized. The transcript is spliced from 3 exons. NCBI's taxonomy places the organism in Eukaryota, Metazoa, Chordata, Amphibia, Anura, Pipidae. The record is from RefSeq and is a predicted model, not a curated record.